CCUACGGGAGGCAGCAGUGAGGAAUAUUGGUCAAUGGGCGCGAGCCUGAACCAGCCAAGUCGCGUGAGGGAAGACGGUCCUAUGGAUUGUAAACCUCUUUUGUCGGGGAGCAAAAGACGCCACGCGUGGCGUUCCGAGAGUACCCGAAGAAAAAGCAUCGGCUAACUCCGUGCCAGCAGCCGCGGUAAUACGGAGGAUGCGAGCGUUAUCGGGAUUUAUUGGGUUUAAAGGGUGCGCAGGCGGAAGAUCAAGUCAGCGGGAAAAUUGAGAGGCUAAACCUCUUCGAGCAGUUGAAACUGGUUUUCUUGAGUGAGUGAGAAGUAUGCGGAAUGCGUGGUGUAGCGGUGAAAUGCAUAGAUAUCACGAAGAACUCCGAUUGCGAAGGCAGCAUACCGGCGCUCAACUGACGCUCAUGCACGAAAGUGUGGGUAUCGAACAGGAUUAGAUACCCGAGUAGUC
This 459-nucleotide ribosomal RNA is filed under the name uncultured bacterium. RNAcentral's name for it is "partial 16S ribosomal RNA". It matches the Rfam family "Bacterial small subunit ribosomal RNA", at positions 338 to 795 of the family's 1533-position model. The record is from RNAcentral.